CUCUCUCCACAGCGGUGCUCCUCUCUGUGGUCGGCUCCGCCUCAGGCUCCGCCGCCAUCUUGUCGCGUGAUUGUGCUGAGGGCGAGCGCUUGUGACUGGGUUUCGAAGGCCGCGCGCGGGUAGCGGCUUCAGGAGUCGGGGUUCGUCUGGGGGACUGGGGGAGCUGCCCUCGGGGCGUGUCCCGUCGACGCCGUCACGGGUGGGGAACCGGAAGUGGACGCGCCGGGCCUGUGGCGGCUGCGGCACCCAGCGUGGGAGGCAGCCGGGCGCGGCGUCCCCGCGACGCGCUCACGUGUCUGCCACGCCUGUCGCCCGGCUUGCUUUCCCGUCAACCCUCCAGACGGCGGACGAGGACGGACGGGAAGCAGGGAGUGUCCUAGUGCGGUGAUCUCGAGCCGGCUGACGCUCGGCUCGCUUUGCCCCGUCUUAGCAGUUUGAAUCCUCUCUAGUACUCCUGGAGCUCAAGACUUAUUUUGCCAACACCAUUUCCAGCAGGGGGAGACAUGCUACCUUAAAUGCCGCACUAAAAUUUUGGACAAGAUUUCCACCUGCUUGUUGGUACAUUUCUGUAACCCUUGCUACUCGAGAGGCUGAGGCAGAAGGAUGACUUGAGCCCAGGUGUUAAAAGCUACUCUAAAGAUGGG
Molecule: long non-coding RNA, 644 nt
Filed under: Cricetulus griseus (Chinese hamster)
Lineage: Eukaryota; Metazoa; Chordata; Mammalia; Rodentia; Cricetidae
Description: lncRNA (ENSCGRG00015039336.1)
Source: RNAcentral